CCGAGGAGUCCUGGCCGUUCGCGAGUCGUAGGGGCCCCACGAACCCCGAAGGCGUAGCGAAAGCGAGAGAGCGCGUGGGAGGGCACCGGUCCGGGAGAGGUGUCGCGUCGAAAGCGGUCAGGCGGGGAGUUUCCGCUUCCUUCCGCCGCCUAGACGUGCCCGAUUCCGCCGGCGCUUGCCGUCUUCGUCCCGUCGACCUUCCCUCUUUUCGUAUCCGUCCGUCCCGAGACGGUCCCCUAUUUUCCCGUCGCCGGGAGAUGAAGGGCAUCGGGCGCCAGUGUCGGGUGUCGAAGCUAACGGGGGGGUUGUCGUCGGCGGGGUUGCAGCCUCCAACUUUCCUCCCACCGCCCACCGGUGAGAUCCCGCGGCUUGAACUAGUCACGAUUUAGGUCGUCGAGUUUAGGCGCUGCGCGCGGGCGCAUCACCCCCGGGUCGGUUCCUUUCCGAGUACGACUCGGCCGACUCUGGCGUAGCGAGCGGCCAGGGACCCGAAAGAUGGCGAUCCACGCCCGGUCGGGAUGAAGCCAGAGGAAACUCUGGUGGAAGUCCGAAGCGCCUCUGACGUGCAAAUCGAUCGUCGGAACCGGGUGUAGGGGCGAAAGACCAAUCGAGCCGUCUA
RNAcentral lists this ribosomal RNA (619 nucleotides) under Sepia officinalis (common cuttlefish). Its description in RNAcentral is "eukaryotic LSU rRNA". The stretch from base 486 to 619 matches the Rfam family "Eukaryotic large subunit ribosomal RNA", at positions 813 to 946 of the family's 3401-position model. Lineage: Eukaryota; Metazoa; Mollusca; Cephalopoda; Sepiida; Sepiidae. The record is from RNAcentral.